CGGGGACUGUGGGAGGAUAGGCUCAGCACCGCCUCUGCGAAAGGCGGUGCCGAGAUGGGCUGGGCCAGGGUCGGCCGACCCUAGGGGGCGGCCGCCCCCUAGUGGGCCCCGCUGGCCCCGGCCCGAAGCCCGUUGCCAUCCUCUCGGGCCCCUGAGUCCAGAUCCACCUGCAAAUUGAUGCACUUCUAUAUUGGGCUUUUGGGUACUUGUUUAUUUGCGCAUUUUUUGACGUGUCGGAUUGCGCCUUUUUAUUUGCUUUCCACCUGUAUGCCUGUAUAUGAUCUACAAAACACAACUUGCACUACAUGUGGAACUUGGUAAGCAUUUAAUAAGUAUAUGUGAGUAAAAUACAUGAUUUUCUUCCUUUGCAUGAACUAUGUUGGCGGGGUAAAUAUGUCAUUAAGAACCGCCAACAAACACCUCCAAGUUUACCACUUGCUCGUCCUCGAGCAAGAACUAAGAUCUUGGUUGUUGAUCAGGAGUUGCUACAAUAUUUUCACUUCUAUCCAGUACAUACCUUCAAACAAGAAUUCUCCUUUGAAUUUUGAACAGAUAUGUCAUGGGGCUUAUUGCUGAUACCUUGGGUCCUUAAGCAUUUGCAGGAUGGAUUUGAUCAGAUCGAGUGCUAUAUCCCUAGUUCUUUACUUCACCUUUGUUCUGGAGUUUUUUUAUUUUCAAAACUUAGCACAUUUAUUUGUCAAAUUAAACAAUGGAUCCAAAGAGAAAGUUAAUCAUACCAUUAAAUUUUUGAAAACUUUUAUUUCCAUCAUUCUCUUUUUGUCUAUUAGAGACACAUGGCUAUGUGGCUAAUUCUACUGUUGGGCACUUGCCUAUUUUUUUAUUUUUAUUUUUUUCGAGGUUCCGGACACAUGUCCCUUUUUAUUUCCUCGUGAUCUUUCUUUUUGAGGUUUCAGACACAUGUCCCUUUUUAUUUCGUCUGAUGCUUUUUUUUCUUUUUCAUAGCCAUAUGCCUUCUAACAAACUUUUGAGAUGAUAACAUAAUGAAAUAUUUUUGUUUUCAAUGGUAUGACAACCUCUCAAAGGGUCAACAAAGCUUAAUCUAACUCAAUGUGAUUAUUUUAUUUUUGUAAAAACUCCAGAACUCUAGCGUUGUUUAGAACAGGAUACUAGCAGCUCGGAUCAUCACAAAUAUAUCCAUUAAUUACUUUAGACUUUAGAUAGAGCAUUUUGCAACCCUCGCAUUUAAUCAUUUUAUUAAUUUGGAGAAUUCAAGGUUGAAACUAGAUACUGGAAAGAAAUUACGAUAGAGCAACUAUUCAUCAUUUCAACAAGGAAGAAGCAUAUAUCUUACAUCACAUAUAAGAGUGGAAUUAUAUUUUUGUCUUUUUAGCAUUUUUCAUUUUUUUUAUAUGCAAUAAUUAAAACAUGGAAAUUUCAUAAAGUAAACAUGCUAAUUUAAAAUUAAGGAUGCAUGAAAAUAAAUAUGCAAUGCAGAUAACCUUGGGAUUGGAGGUCCUCCCCCAAGCUAGCUUCUGGCCUACUGAUCGGGGUUGUACCCCAUGUACCACCAGAAGUCUUGGGACUGUUUCAGCAGCUGAUCUUGGCGAGCUUGCAUUUCAUCUUGCUGCUGCUGGUCCCAGGCCUGUUGUUGCUGUUGCCAUAGCAACCCUUGCUGGUGCCACUCCACGACCUGCUGGUGGUGCGCAUCGGUGGUUUGGAUGUGUUGUUGGAGAGUAUCCUGGAUCUCAUCCGUGCGCACCACCAGUCCCCCAAGCUGAGCUUGGAGGCGCUCCAAGUCGGUUCGGCCUACUGUGGAGGUCGAAGGAUAUUCUUCUGGUGAUUCAGCCCUCCAGCACGAUUGUUGUUCCCAAGCUCUGGAAUCCGCCUCAGCCCACCCCUCAACACCUUGUGUCGGCAUGGGUGUGUCCCACCCCGAGUGGUAGAUUGGCUGUGUAUAGGAGGGUGGUGGCUGGGAGCUGGAUCCGCCGAUGUCCCUGCCAGAAACACUACGCCUUCGUGCAGUUUCAGCUGUCUGCAGAUCAAAGGUUAGUCUCCCAGAGUUAUACAAGUGUACACCCGGGUUAGGUAACCGGAUUACGUUUGUAUACCCUGGGAAAUAAAACACAAGACCGCCCGCAUUAUCUCUUUUCAAAUGGUGACCUUGGAUAAGAUAGGUUUCAUUAAUCAUGGUGCUUGGAAUUUGAAUAUAAUCAAGAUCUUGCCCUUCCAACGCACCAAUGGCCGUGGCCACAUGUGUUAUGUGUGAAGUCAAAGAGAUAGGGGUGGUUGUCUUGAUUAUAUCUAACCAAUGCCUUAUAAUUUCUUGCACAGGCGCAACUUUUAUUUUCAUUCUAGCCACGUAAAGUAACCUCAUUUCAUUUACUUGCACAACGCGGGUAUCCUGGCUAGGAACAUUGUUAUGGAUAGCCAAAGGUGUAAAAACCUUAGAGUGGGGUGUUGGAUGUGGGCAUUUCUAGGAUAGUAUUUUCCAGUGUGAACUUGCGCCGUGAUUUCUUCCCAAAACUUAUCCUUAUUAAACCCUUUUGUGGCAUGCACUAAAUCAAGAGAGCAUCUUUGAUGAAAACCAAGGUAUUUGCUUAAGUCUUUCCAAAAGAUAGCAUAUUCAUUUCCAAAUAAAUGAACAGAAAUACCUUCAUAUGUUUCUCUUAAAGUGCAUAGGAAUUGAAUGGUAAGGGUAUAGGAUCCAUACUCAGUUAUGGGGUGAAUGUUGUCCCACCUGGCGGCUUUCCAUAUGGAGAGGAAUUCAGAGUCCAUACCGAUGUCGGAGAGGAGCGAGUCGUCGUAGACCGGCGUAUGGAGGAAGAUCCGGUCCUUGAGCAUGUUGUAGGCUUGAUGUUCUCGAUCACCCACCAAGUCGAAUUGGUGGGCUCCUCCUUCUUCAUGUUGUUCCUCCUCUUGUUCCUCUUCUUCUUCCUCUACCUCUUCCUCUACCUCCUCGAUCUCCGAGGAUUCUUCCUCAGCGGAAGGACUCCAUCGGGGAUCGGUGUAGUAUGAGGAAGUGCUCCGAUAGGGGCGCUUCGAGAAUGACCUCGUGACUCUUUUAAACGCCCCCGAAACUGUUUUGCCGAACCUUUUCAUGGUGCAAUGCUUGCACCAGUGGAUAGCUAGCUUGGAUAGGUGAUUUUUUUGUGAGGUUUCUGCUGGUGGUUGGUUGGAAAUAGCAAAGAUGUGAAAGUGUUGCUUGGAGAGUGAAGAUGGAAGUGAUGAAGUGAAGUGAGAAUGGGUGGAGAGGGCCACACCCGAACCCCUGGUAUUUAUAGUUUGAAAAUGCAGGUGGAUUCGGGGUGAGGGCAACGGCUAGGAGCCUCCCCCAGCUGGCCGUUGGCCAGAGCCAUUGGGGGGUCGGCCGACCCUAGGGGCGGCCGCCCCCUGGUGGGCCCCGCUGCUCCCUAACUUUUGUCUCCAUCUUCCAACGGCUAGUUUUUGAAGUUUUUCGUUGGCAUAUUGAUGCACUUCUAGCUGAAAAAAUGACUUUUGCAAUUUCCAACAUUUAUUUGUAAAAUUUUUAUUUUUGAAAAAUUUAGGAAAAAUAUUUUUCUAUUAUUUUAUUUUAUUUUCUAGCUGAAAAUGAAUUUUUGAAUAUUUUUCAAAAAAAUUAUAUAUAUAUAUAUAUAUUUAAGAUAACUACCGAUUACCUUCGGCAGAGGCUCAAAAAAAUGUUUAUAGUCCUUUUUGAGAAGGACUCUCUUCCGUCGUUUGAAUUUCACCCUGCAUGGUUAGUGGGAGAGUUCUCGGGUUACCCCGGGAGUCUACCCGCAUUCUCAGUAGGAAUUGCAGCGGCGAUCUGAGCUACUUGUGUUUCUAUCAUUUUAUUAAAGCUCAGUUGGUUUUGUACGGAAGAGGCAAGGUUUUCUAUUUUUGUAUUUAUGUUUUCUAAAACCUUAUCAUUGGACAGCAACUUUUUAGUUAAGUUUUCAUUUAUUUUAGCUUGUCCAAGAACUAGGUCUUUUAAUGAAGGUUGAUUCGAAUUAAAACUCGAAUUACCUUGGAAUGAAGAGCGUGACUGAUUAUUCCAACCAUUACCUUGGUUGGCGCCUCCUUGUUGGCGAAACCCGUUGUUGAUGUAGGCAGCGUCUUCACGGGUUUCGGGGCAAUCAUUCCCCGAAUGGCCAACUUCUCCACAGACCUCGCACGUCAUUAGCGAGUCUAUGGCCUUCACCGAGUUCGAGGGGUUCUCUUGGUUCCUCUCGGUGAGUUGCUUCAUCAAUAAAUCUAUUUUUGCGGCAAGCAUAUCCGUCUCCUUCACGGUAUGCAUGCCUUUUUGUGUUUUGGCAGCUGGUGGUUGAGUUCUGUCCUCCCCCCAGCUCUGGUGUUCUACCAUCUUCUCGAUCAGGGCCUUGGCCCCGGCGGUGGUAAGUGAUAGGAACGCGCCUCCAGCGGUGGCGUCUAGGUGUCCCUUCGACAUGGGCGUGAGCCCAUUGUAGAAGUUCUGGAGCACCAUCCAGUUCUCCAUGCCAUGAUGGGGGCAGCUUAGGAUGUACUCUUGUAGCCGCUCCCACGCUUCAGGGAUUGUUUCGCUGGCAUUUUGUUGAAAACUGGCAAUCCUUCCCCUCAAAGCAUUGGUUUUGCUUAUGGGGAAGAACUUGGCAAGGAAUGCCGCGAAGCAUUUUGCCCACGUGGUGACAGCUUCCUUAUCUUGAUAGAACCACCUCUUCGCCUGCCCCACGAGGGAGAAAGGAAAGAGGCGGAGCCGAAUGACAUCAGGAGUGAUGUCCUUGAUGACAAUCGUGUCACAUAGGUCCAGGAAGUGUUGAAGGUGUGCAUUCGCAUCCUCGCUUGGCAAGCCACAGAAUGGGCUCGCCUGCACCAUGGUGAUCAGGCCGGUGCGUAGCUCGAAGUUCUUGCUGGUCAUGUCAACAGCGGGGCCAGUGGCCACGUUGGUGACAGCGGGCACGGAGAACUCGCGGAGUGUCUUCUCGGCGGCCAUGAGUUCGUUCGGGGUUGGUGCGGUAACGGCUGGUUCACUUGUCGGUGGAGUAGCAGAAGACGAAACGGUUCGAGACCGUCUAGUCCUUAGGAGUGCCUCGGGAUCGGAGAUGUAGUUUUCCGGCGAAGAGAAACCACGCAUACACUAUUCCUCCUGUUUCAUCCACAACAGGGAGAAAAAUAGACAGAGUUAGCCUGCAUAACAAUUGACUCAUUACGCACAUCAGAUUACUUGAUUAUAUUUAUCUAGAAUCAUUUUCAUAUUAGCCUUCCCAAGGCAACGGCGCCAGAAAUGCAUGUUGGCAUUUCUUAACGUCAUCACUAAGAACAGGGUUUAAUCCGUCCUCAGCAACGAUGUCAGAAAUGUCGUGAUAACACUUACUAAUGCAAUCACCAAGAUUAGAGUAUAAAUCUAUCCUAAGCAACGGUGCCAGAAAUGCUUGUUAGCGUUUCUUAGCGUCGCUACCUAGAAUAGGGUUCUGCUCUACUCAUGAUAAUGACAUUGGCAGUGUUAUAUUGGCAGAUCCGUAGCAUCACCACCUUGAAUAGGAAGCUAGAUCUACCUUCCCGAUAACGGCGCCUUAUUACCGUUAGGGUAGGGAUCCAGUUCUUAAUCAUGGUAGUGGCACUAGGAUUGUCAUGUUGGUAUUCCUUAACAAGUCACUAGCUCGGCGCAUGUCUAGCAACAGUGUUAAGUAUAUACAGGGGUGAUAGUUCCUUAGGUUUGGAGUUUAAGUACCGCAAGCGGACGGGAAUUAUCGUGUAGCAUUUCAACCCGGGGAUUUACCGAGUGUCGUAUUUAUAGGUUCGUUCUAAGGAGGGCUUAAUAUGUUAAGGAUUCUAAAAUAAGCAUAGAUCAAAGUAAUUAUGAUAGCAAUAAUGGAAUCAAAAGUCAUAGCAGGUGAUAAACAUUUAUAUGUAGAAUAGUGAUCCAUCACAAUCUAGGCAUGGCAUAUGGGCUAAGGAAUAAAAAAGAGACUAAAAGAAUGAAUUGAAUCAAAGAAUAAACAAACAACCUAUUGGAGUAGGUGUGGUCCUAGAUACAGAUCAUGUCAUAGAACAAGUUAAUCAUGUAAUUAUACUACUUAGAUCUAGUCCUGUGUUUAGAUGGUUUGGGAGGUUACGCGAGUACUGGUCUGCCAGCAACCUCCGCAACUAUUUAGACUCCUACACCCUAGCCGAACGUGGGGGAAUGCCAAGGAUGGACAGGGCUGUCACCACCUGCCGCCAUCCCCUCAACCGUGGACUAGGACAAUGCAUUUACCCGGCCUUUACACCCAAGCACCAUGCUUACAUACAAAGAACCUACUCGGACUCCCCUGGGUCCCCGACCCUACGGAUCGACAGGUAAGAAGCCCGAGCCUACUCAAAAGAGCAUGAUAAACCCCCAUCUUCACACAAAGCUAUUUCUAGGCAAUUAAUUAACAUGAAGCAAUUAGACUAAAGUCCUAAGUGAGAAUAAUACAACAUACACUUAGCACUAGUUCAUAUAAUACACUACUGGCCCUAGGGUAGCAUUAUACUAUAAGAACUAUAUACUGAAAUGUAUGUCAUACCAUUUCCACUAGAACUAUAUUCUAGUUCAUAUGCUAGCAUCAUAAAACAUGGCCUAUGAUCUAUAUCAUAUACCAUAACAUAAGAACUAUACUCUAGUUCAUAUGAAGAACUAUAUCGGACAUGAUAAGGCAUGGACUUGGAGUAAAGAUAUUCUUUAUUCAUACCCAAGUUUCUCUCCAAGGAGCCAAGCCCUCCUUGAUAGCUCACCCAACUCUCUCUCUAAAAGCUAGAAGGAAAAACUAAGAAGAGGUAGUGCCCAAGUGCCUUGAAGGUGGAGUGUUGAUUGUGAAUGUGAUGAGAUGAAUGGAGCCUCCCUCUCCCCCACCUUAAAUAGGAUGGGAAGGUCGGUUCCCUAGGGUGUAAACUGCAAUUUGCACGCGGGGACUGCGGGAGGAUAGGCUCAGCACCGCCUCUGCGAAAGGCGGUGCCGAGAUGGGCUGGGCCAGGGUCGGCCGACCCUAGGGGGCGGCCGCCCCCUGGUGGGCCCCGCUGGUCCCGGCCCAAAGCCCGUUGCCUUCCUCUCGGGCCCCUGAGUCCAAAUCCACCUGCAAAUUGAUGCACUUCUAUAUUGGGCUUUUGGGUACUUGUUUAUUUGCGCAUUUUUUGACAUGUCGGAUUGCGCCUUUUUAUUUGCUUUCCACCUGUAUGCCUGUAUAUGAUCUGCAAAACACAACUUGCACUACAUGUGGAACUUGGUAAGCAUUUAAUAAGUAUAUGUGAGUAAAAUACAUGCUUUUCUUCCUUUGCAUGGACUAUGUUGGCGGG
Molecule: long non-coding RNA, 7230 nt
Filed under: Sorghum bicolor (sorghum)
Lineage: Eukaryota; Viridiplantae; Streptophyta; Magnoliopsida; Poales; Poaceae
Description: long non-coding RNA (SBIC_LNC017494)
Rfam family: Plant small nucleolar RNA R71 (bases 4434-4542)
Source: RNAcentral